RNAcentral lists this ribosomal RNA (768 nucleotides) under uncultured bacterium. RNAcentral describes it as "bacterial SSU rRNA". It matches the Rfam family "Bacterial small subunit ribosomal RNA", at positions 28 to 777 of the family's 1533-position model. The record is from RNAcentral.
GACGAACGCUGGCGGCGUGCCUAACACAUGCAAGUCAAGGAGAAAGACUGGUUUCGGCCGGUCAAGUAAACUGGCGGACGGGUGAGUAACGCGUAGGCGACCUGCCCUUGUGUUUGGAAUAACCCCGAGAAAUUGGGGCUAAUACCGAAUGACGCAUUGAGUAUGCAUGUACUUGAUGUUAAAGGUGCUGCAAGGUACCGCACAGGGAUGGGCCUGCGUUCCAUUAGUUAGAUGGUAGGGUAACGGCCUACCAUGACUGCGAUGGAUAGCUGAUCUGAGAGGGUGAUCAGCCACACUGGGACUGAGAUACGGCCCAGACUCCUACGGGAGGCAGCAGUGAGGAAUAUUGCGCAAUGGACGAAAGUCUGACGCAGCAACGCCGCGUGGGGGAUGAAGCACUAUGGUGUGUAAACCUCUGUAGACAGGGAAGAACGGUAUGUAUUCGAAAGGGUACGUAUGUGACGGUACCUGUAAAGUAAGCUCCGGCUAACUCCGUGCCAGCAGCCGCGGUAAUACGGGGGGAGCGAGCGUUGUCCGGAAUUACUGGGCGUAAAGGGCGUGUAGGCGGCUUGACAAGUCAGAUGUGAAGGCCCGCGGCUUAACCGCGGAAAUGCAUUUGAAACUGUUGAGCUUGAGUGCGAGAGAGGGUAGUGGAAUUCCCAGUGUAGCGGUGAAAUGCGUAGAUAUUGGGAAGAACACCAGUAGCGAAAGGCGGCUACCUGGCUCGUAACUGACGCUAAAGCGCGAAAGCGUGGGGAGCAAACAGGA